Molecule: long non-coding RNA, 412 nt
Organism: Dreissena polymorpha
Lineage: Eukaryota; Metazoa; Mollusca; Bivalvia; Myida; Dreissenidae
Exons: 3
Source: RefSeq, a predicted model, not a curated record
GUAGGAAGGAGACCCAUCAUCCGUUAAAUUGCCAACCAUGAAAUUUCGCAGGAGACGAGGUUCCAAUAUGUGAACCCGGAAGCAAGGAGAAGCUCCCCCACCCGCGGGAAUGUCAGCUCUACAUAGACUGCGCCAGCACAACGAAAGUUCCCUGGUUGCCGGGAGCCAAAACGCGAGAGUGCGAGUAUCCAUUGCUAUUCGAUGAGUGGACACGGUUGUGUCAAGAUUUCAGGACCGUCCACUGUGGUAGUCGCUCGUUGAAGGUUAACGCAUGCGACUAUUAUGGAAACCAAUGCAACGGCCCCAAUUGCCGCCCCUGCGACUUUACGUACCCUUCCUGUGAAGGUCGUCCGGACGGACGCAACGCCAUCGAGUGGAAGUUGAACUCCCCGAUGUACGCCGUUUGCGACAG